GGCGAUUUAGCUCAGUUGGUUAGAGCGUGUGCUUAACACUUGGACACUGUUGUCAAGAGUUGCGCACAAGGUCGGCGGUUCGACCCCGUCAAACGUCA
This 98-nucleotide transfer RNA is filed under the name Apiotrichum porosum. RNAcentral describes it as "tRNA-Val". It matches the Rfam family "tRNA". Rfam says of the family: Transfer RNA (tRNA) molecules are approximately 80 nucleotides in length. Their secondary structure includes four short double-helical elements and three loops (D, anti-codon, and T loops). The record is from RNAcentral. Lineage: Eukaryota; Fungi; Basidiomycota; Tremellomycetes; Trichosporonales; Trichosporonaceae.